This 429-nucleotide ribosomal RNA is filed under the name Bacteroidota bacterium. Its description in RNAcentral is "Bacteroidetes bacterium partial 16S ribosomal RNA". It matches the Rfam family "Bacterial small subunit ribosomal RNA", at positions 355 to 776 of the family's 1533-position model. Lineage: Bacteria; Pseudomonadati; Bacteroidota. The record is from RNAcentral.
UAGGGAAUCUUCCGCAAUGGACGCAAGUCUGACGGAGCAACGCCGCGUGAGUGAAGAAGGAUUUCGGUUCGUAAAACUCUGUUGUUAGAGAAGAACAGCGCAUAGAGUAACUGUUAUGCGUGUGACGGUAUCUAACCAGAAAGCCACGGCUAACUACGUGCCAGCAGCCGCGGUAAUACGUAGGUGGGAAGCGUUGUCCGGAUUUAUUGGGCGUAAAGCGAGCGCAGGCGGUCAAUUAAGUCUGAUGUGAAAGCCCCCGGCUCAACCGGGGAGGGUCAUUGGAAACUGGUGGACUUGAGUGCAGAAGAGGAGAGUGGAAUUCCAUGUGUAGCGGUGAAAUGCGUAGAUAUAUGGAGGAACACCAGUGGCGAAGGCGACUCUCUGGUCUGUAACUGACGCUGAGGCUCGAAAGCGUGGGGAGCGAACAGG